AGAGUUACACAGCUGUUCAAAGAGUUAAACACCAAUAACAAUUGUGUUGAGGUAUUACGUCAACCUAAAGGCCCAGAUGGAACUCCAGGAUUUGAUUUCCAGAGAUAAUGAAGCAUGAACAAAGGGACAAGAAAUAGAAGUGCCAAAAUCAGUCAAAACACAAACCUCUUUGUUAUAUUUCAUGUUUUUGAAACUUUUUUUUAAGUGUUCAAAUAUAAUACACUUAUAGCCUUGAUUUUUGUAAAAUGAUUGAAAAUUUAUUUUUUGACAGCAGUACAUGUUUGUACAAACAUUUGCUGCAUAUUAUAAAAAAAAGGAAUGUUAUUUUUUCAUGUGUUGAAUAUGUAAUUGCUGCAAAUCCUAAACUUUAAAAAUUCACGAUGAUUUAGGGAAUUCAAAUUGCCAGACAAAAUUAAGGAUUACAAAGAUUGACUGAUAUGAGAUUAACAGGGCCAAGGUUUGACAUUAAGCUGAGGUCCAUAAAUAACAUAAGGACUAACAGGGCCAAGGUUUGACAUUGAGCUGAGGUCCAUAAUAACAUAUUAAGCUCAACAAAGGUUAAAAAAGAAGAAAAGAGAGAGAAAAUCAAUCCAGCCGUGCUGGUUCAUUGAUAUGCACACAUCAGAUGUUGUACAAAUAUAUAAAUAUACAAUGUAGUACAUUUAUAUCAAUGAAAAACCACCCCUAAUGACAUUUCAAUGGUAAGAGGUAGUUUUUUAAAAACAACAUUUGCACAUUUGAUAUGUCAUAAAUUUCCUAUGUACAAAAUUUGAGUGUAAAAAUGCAAGGUCUCUGUGUGCUAAUGAUACACACAUUGUGCUAAGAAAUGUGGGCCAUUGGUUCUACAGGAAAUUGUCACAUGAAGUUUGUACUUAAUUUUGUAAAGAGAAUUUAGGCCAUUCAUAUGUAUUUUUUAGUUAUCUGCCAUAUAGAUUCUUCAUUUUAUUGUGCUUUUAGUUGCAUCAAUCUGAUACCAAGGAUAAAAAAUGAAAUUCUAGAUGACAUAGAUUGGUUGUUCAUAAAGAUUUAGUGUUGCCUGCAACACUGAACAACAUUUGUGAAGUUAUUUUGACAGCUUCUGUGUUGUCGACAUUUAGAUUUAGUCUGUUAAUUUUUUUUACAUCAAUUACUUUGCCAAACAUUCACAGUAUUUUAUGAAACUUGGACAAAAGCUUCUUUAUGAUCAAGAGAUAAUUUCUGGAUGAAGAUUUCAAUAUCGUAGAUACAUUAAUUUGAACUUUUAUAACCUCUUUGAAUCUCAAGUAUCCUCCAAUCAGGGACUUGCUACUUUCCUUUCAUCAUUAAGUUCCUAUAAAUAGCAAUGAUUCUUUGUGACAUAAAGCUGGAAUACCUGCAUUAUGAUGGUAUAUGAAUAAAAUACUGCUAAGUUAGUCACAGAGAAGGAAAUGAAAUUUAUAAAUCAAACCAAGUUUGCAUUAAGUUAAUCAUGGAGGUAUACUUCCCUUUGCAUAGUUUUAGAAUGAUAUCAAAAUUUAACCAUUGUCAAAAUUUCAAUGUAAAAUCUGUUAGAUAUCUACUCUACUGUAUAACCUUAAUGGGUGUUAAGAACAUAUCAGGGGAGAUAACUACUACAGUAUCAUGAAAGUUCAGCAUUACAUUGGCAUGCUGGGUACUCAGUUUGCUUACAACAACAUCCUAAAAAUGGAAUCUUUUCACAAUAGAUCAAAUCUGAUAUUUGAUAAUUGUGCAAUUUUCCCCAUGGAAUCAAUUACUAAAAGCUUUUGUUGCUUGUUUUUUUUAUUAUUAAAACAGGAGUCAAAUAUUUGCUUUUUUAUCUAUACACUUUUUGUUUAACAUUUAGAAUUUGGCUGGAGGUGUCAAUUAUCCUUUCCAAUUAUUUGAAAGAUAUUUCUCUGCUUAACAUGAGGGGUAUCAAGUGAAAGACUAAAAGAAGUUUCUAUAAAAUAAGCAUGGUUUUAUAUGAGGGAGAGUAAGCAAAACAUUUUAGAAAUUUCCCAUAAUAUAUACAUGGUAAUCUUACUUUUAAUGUAUUUAUUUGAAAAUUCAGAACAAAAGAUGUAGUGUAAAAAAAUACUAAAAACACUGAGAAUUUCUUUGUAGUGUAAACUUGGGUUUCAAAUGUACAGUGUAAUUUUCUCAACUAUUGGUGAGACUGUUUUAACCAUGUUAACUGACCUUUCAAAUUGAAUAUUCCUUAUACAUUGUGAAAUUCAAAGAGGUUUUUAAAAUUUAAAUAUAGUAGCUUUUAUCAUUGUAUAUAUGUAUAUUUAUCAUUGCAGACAUGUAGAUAAUUUUAGCUUUGAAAACAUUUAUUGUAAAUUCACAUCAGCUUAUAAGUAUAAUCUUAGGGUAAAAACUGGACAUGAAAUGAAUGAUCUGUAUCAGGUCAUGUGUUUUAAGUGCCUUGUAUUUUUAUAGUAAGUUUUUGUAAGAAUCAUGGCAGUUUCAUUUUAAAAACUAAGUCACAUGUAACAAUGCAUCAAUUUAACCAUGCAGUAACGAUAUUUCUGUAAUACUAAUUUGCCUUUUCAGAAACUAAAGGACUAUGGAUUAUUUCAAUGUUUAUACCCUAAAAUGUAUUGCCAAUCUCAAGGUUCUGGUGUAUUCUUUAGAAAAAUUACCAAAAAUGCAUUAGAUUCUGAAACUGUAUUGUUAAAAAAUAAUAAAUGUUCAUUUUACAAGUGCUUUGUGAUAACAAACUUCUCCACUUGAGAAUAACAUGUGUUUAAAUUUUAAAGAGACAACAUUAAAAAAAAAUUUGUGUUGGAAUCAGUUUCGUAAAUAUCUUUUAGAAGUCAUCAUAAGAAUUGAGAAUAAGGGCACCACGUAUUUAUUUUCCAAGAAUAAACAACUGACUUGGGAAAAGGUUUUAUUUUGUCAUUUUAAUUAGUAUGGUCAGUUUCCGAUUUUUUUUCGUGGAGAUUUUUGAGUCUGUACAAUUUAUAAAGGGGGGAUAAUUAUUGGUGUUAUGAUUGACAUUAAAUAUCCCAAUCAUACCAGAUCUAUUUACAAAGAUACCCUACAUCUUAAAUGUCAAUACAAUGUGCAAUUUUAGAACCUUCUAAUUAUCUAAUCAGGUACUAGCAUCAUUAAAUAUGUGCUUUUAGUUAAGAUAAGGAAACAAGACGGACUUUGUUCAUAUUUUAAUUAUGUCUUUCAUAGCUGCUUAAGUCUAAAGAUUGAAAAUAGUGCUAGAUGAUGCCUACGAGCAUUAAGCUUUGGUAAUGUUAAGUUCAUAAACAAUAUUCUUUGCAUAGGACAAGUUAAGCUUUCUAACUAAACAUUUAUUGUGUAAGAAUUCAGAAUUUUGUAAAAAAAUAAGAAAUGAUGAAAUAUAGGUAUGCCACAACCAGUAUUGAAUUUGAAAGUAAAUAAAAGGACAGGGUGAGAUAAGGGCCUUAUUUGGAUUGAUUUUUCAUUGAAAUUUUAACACUUGAUUUAAAACUAAAUUGAUGUUUACAUUUAUAACAUGUAUAACUUAAAAAAAACAACAAGGGAGUAAGCAUCCAUCAUGUCUUAUUAAAUACAGUCGUAAUGUUAUCUAGGAUAGGCCUUUGUACUUGUUAUGAUGAAAAAUAUACAGCUAUUGUCCAGUUUAAAAAUUGUGGACCGCCAAGAGCACAAGCAAGUAUCUAUUAGAUAAUUCACAUUGUUUUUUUUUUUUGUCUACAUGAUCUGCUUUCUCACAUGUAGAUAUCUAUUUGUUACUAGGUACAUUUUGUACAUAACACUUUUUAUACAUACACACAUACAUACAUACAUAUCAAAUAUUUUUUAAGGGAAUGAAAAUCACUGGAUUUUUUAU
This 3787-nucleotide long non-coding RNA is filed under the name Mytilus galloprovincialis (Mediterranean mussel). The record is from RNAcentral. Lineage: Eukaryota; Metazoa; Mollusca; Bivalvia; Mytilida; Mytilidae.